GAUGAACGCUGGCGGCGUGCCUAAUACAUGCAAGUCGAGCGAACAGAUAAGGAGCUUGCUCCUUUGACGUUAGCGGCGGACGGGUGAGUAACACGUGGAUAACCUACCUAUAAGACUGGGAUAACUUCGGGAAACCGGAGCUAAUACCGGAUAACAUAUUGAACCGCAUGGUUCAAUAGUGAAAGGCGGCUUUGCUGUCAUUUAUAGAUGGAUCCGCGCCGUAUUAGCUAGUUGGUAAGGUAACGGCUUACCAAGGCAACGAUACGUAGCCGACCUGAGAGGGUGAUCGGCCACACUGGAACUGAGACACGGUCCAGACUCCUACGGGAGGCAGCAGUAGGGAAUCUUCCGCAAUGGGCGAAAGCCUGACGGAGCAACGCCGCGUGAGUGAUGAAGGUCUUCGGAUCGUAAAACUCUGUUAUCAGGGAAGAACAAAUGUGUAAGUAACUGUGCACAUCUUGGCGGUACCUGAUCAGAAAGCCACGGCUAACUACGUG
RNAcentral lists this ribosomal RNA (497 nucleotides) under uncultured bacterium. Its description in RNAcentral is "partial 16S ribosomal RNA". It matches the Rfam family "Bacterial small subunit ribosomal RNA", at positions 28 to 507 of the family's 1533-position model. The record is from RNAcentral.